CAACCAGUUGACCACAACUGCUGUUACAUACUCAUUUGUACUUGUACUUCAUAAAGUAGUAGUAUAUUUUUUAUUAUAACAUAUUCUUAAUUUUAUUUUUUCUUUCAAAUCCACUGAGCUGAAAAAAGUAGUAUCUGCUUCACGGGUAUUACAGAAUCGAGAGAAGGUUUUGGAGUGCAAGUUCAUGCUUUGUUGAAACUGAAAGUAUUAAAUGUGUUGCUGUUUUUUUGCAUGUGAAUUAAAGACACCACCACAGACAGGAAGAACUAAGAUUAAUUGAAAAAGGAAAUCUUUGAACAUCACAAGUCUUUCCCAAGAAUCAUCACACAAAAAUUGUCACACAUACCUGUUUUACACUGCAUAGGACUGAGAAGAUGUCUUUAGCACGAGCAUUUUUGAAAACAUUUAGAAAUGGGAUGGCCAGAACUGCUGUUUUCACCACUUUUCCUAUGAGCCUUUUGUUACUUCCAUUGGAAGGGCUGGUUGAUGCCCAUUUUGCAUGUCCAUGUGAUGCUAAUAAGAAUGUACAAGUCUCAAAUCUCAUCUUCUGUGCACCUUUUUUUUUCUUUUUAGCUUUAAUGUGCUUGGUUUUACAGCCAUUCCAGCUUAAAUGUGAUUUUAAACAUUGCUUACUCAAGGGCAAGAAAUUGUUUCUUUGCCUUAUUCCACCUUUUAUGUGGAUUGAUCUUCUGCUUCUUGAUGGUAAUUACAUUGCUUGUAAGAACACAGACUGGAAUGGAGUGUAUGUUUCUGAUGAUGAGUUACAUAUGAAAUGGUGUAAACCAACUGAACAAGUUCACGGAAGAAAUGAAACUGAACUACGAGAUCUGACUCUGAGCUUUAUUGCAGAUUCUCAGUGCGACGGUUUAUGUGUACUUCUUUAUUUUAGCAUCAUUAUAAUACUUUGUGUAGUUUUCUUUGGCUGCUUAACCAGUGAUGAAUCCGGUGAGGAUGCGACAGAGGAACAAGUAUAAAAAUAUAUUUUGUUCAGCUUCAGAAAUGUUAUUAAUAAUCAUGAAAAGGAAUGAUAGCUUCUAUUUUACAUUUAGGUUUUAAACAUUUAGGUUUAGGUAUUUAGUUUCUUUGAUUAGUCAUAUGAUUUUUGUUUUAAUCUGUUUUUAACAUAAUGCCAAUUUUUGGGGAAAUGUACAAAAUGUUGCAGCCUUCAGAGUUUCAGCGCUUGUAUCAAUGAUAAAAUUAGUUGCUAAAAAUAAUUGUUUUUCAUGCUCUUUAACAAUGAAACUAAGUGUACAAAACUAACUACUGUAACAUUGUUCAAUCAGCCUUUACUAUUUAAUAUAAUGAUUCAACAGCACCAUUUCACUAAACACAUGUUGAUCCAUUGUUGAGAUUUGAAAGAUGAUUUAGAUUAAAUACUGUGUGUCAUGUAGGGAACUUCAAAUUGUGUUGCAAUUAAAGUAUUUUUUCACUGAAA
This is a long non-coding RNA of Danio aesculapii, 1435 nucleotides long. RefSeq lists it as uncharacterized. The transcript is spliced from 5 exons. The record is from RefSeq and is a predicted model, not a curated record. Lineage: Eukaryota; Metazoa; Chordata; Actinopteri; Cypriniformes; Danionidae.